GCAACAUUGUGCCAUGGACUUCUCAAACUCGCAGUUCUGGAAAGAGAUGCAACAGACGUCCAAAUGAGCCCCGGUUAUGGAAUUGGAAACCUUUAUUUCCGUAGGCGUACAGGUACAUAUAUGAAGCCAGCAACGAUCUGAAGCCCGGGAGGAGAAAAACAACGUGUAAAGACACCAUGAAUAAUCACAACGUCCUUUGUAGCUUGAUCAUCUUUCUUCAGAUCGCCUUCUCACCGCGGGGAUCCACCUACAAUUUCAGCCUCUGUAACCACGACAAGAUACAAGAGGAUCUACAAAACGUUUUGGAUCCAGACACAGUCUUUACACAAGAGGAGCUAGAACUCGAUUUUCACACCUGCGAGGACGCGCCCUCCGAGCCGGCGGGCAAGCAGCAGUCCGAGGACUCCAGGUGGACGGAGCGAGCGGGCCGGCUGCUGGAAUGUUUCCUGCAGCGGGUGCGGGAAUGCAGGGAGGAGCGGCCGGAGCUGUGGCGCGUCACCUGGUCCGUGCUGAAGCGCCACUGCCCCGGCUUCUGCGCGUCACCGAAGGGCACUGGGACAGCGCAGCGGGACAGCCCCGCAGGCAGCACCGCCGGGAUGGCGAGCCCAACCCCGUGCGACAAGAGCAAAGCCCGGGAGCUGAUGGCGGUGUGGAGAAGCUACAACAACUUGGGAUAGGCCGCCCGGGGGUGGUGCGGCUUUUAAUUUUGCCUCCUCCGCUGGACUUCACUUGCAUUGUCCGCUGCGCAGUCACAUCAACGGAGUAACUCUGCGGGUUGGUAUAAAAAAAACCCCCAAACCAAACCCACGUACAAAACCAACGCUGCCACCACCACAGAAAACUCAGAACAGACACCUCGGGAAGUUCAGAAGUUCCCGGCGCAGGCGUCCCGCGGGAUGCGCCAUCGGAGGUGGGCUCACCUCGCGCUCCGCUGCCGCCUCUGGGGCGCGGCCACCUGCAACAGGACGUCGUGCUUUGCGAGGGCAAAGGGGAUAAAGAAAUGAAGAAUAAAAGGGGAUACAAAAAUGAAAAAUAAAAGGGGAAAAAAAAAAAACCCGGAGCCGCGGCUGCGUGGAGCGUUUGUGCCAGAGUUCGCGGCCCAUGCGCGGCGCGCGGAGCAGGGCGCGGGGCGGGGCGGGCG
RNAcentral lists this long non-coding RNA (1141 nucleotides) under Catharus ustulatus (Swainson's thrush). Its description in RNAcentral is "lncRNA (ENSCUSG00005013091.1)". The record is from RNAcentral. Lineage: Eukaryota; Metazoa; Chordata; Aves; Passeriformes; Turdidae.